UGCAGUCGAGCGCGAUAGGGGCAACCCUUAGUAGAGCGGCGCACGGGUGCGUAACACGUGGAUAAUCUGCCUGGAUGCCCGGGAUAACCAGUCGAAAGAUUGGCUAAUACCGGAUAAGCCCACGGUUUCUUCGGAGACUGAGGGAAAAGGUGGCCUCUGUAUACAAGCUAUCACAACCAGAUGAGUCCGCGGCCCAUCAGCUAGUUGGCGGGGUAAUGGCCCACCAAGGCAACGACGGGUAGCUGGUCUGAGAGGACGAUCAGCCACACUGGAACUGAGACACGGUCCAGACUCCUACGGGAGGCAGCAGUGGGGAAUUUUGCGCAAUGGGCGAAAGCCUGACGCAGCAACGCCGCGUGUGUGAUGAAGGUCUUCGGAUUGUAAAGCACUUUCGACCGGGACGAAAACCCGUUGGCUAACAUCCAACGGCUUGACGGUACCGGGAGAAGAAGCACCGGCUAACUCUGUGCCAGCAGCCGCGGUAAUACAGAGGGUGCAAGCGUUGUUCGGAAUUAUUGGGCGUAAAGCGCGUGUAGGCGGCGUGACAAGUCGGGUGUGAAAGCCCUCAGCUCAACUGAGG
Molecule: ribosomal RNA, 580 nt
Filed under: Myxococcus sp.
Lineage: Bacteria; Pseudomonadati; Myxococcota; Myxococcia; Myxococcales; Myxococcaceae
Description: bacterial SSU rRNA
Rfam family: Bacterial small subunit ribosomal RNA
Source: RNAcentral